RNAcentral lists this ribosomal RNA (164 nucleotides) under Impatiens sp. SR-2013g. Its description in RNAcentral is "5.8S ribosomal RNA". It matches the Rfam family "5.8S ribosomal RNA". Rfam says of the family: 5.8S ribosomal RNA (5.8S rRNA) is a component of the large subunit of the eukaryotic ribosome. It is transcribed by RNA polymerase I as part of the 45S precursor that also contains 18S and 28S rRNA. The record is from RNAcentral. Lineage: Eukaryota; Viridiplantae; Streptophyta; Magnoliopsida; Ericales; Balsaminaceae.
AGAACGACUCUCGGCAAAGGAUAUCUCGGCUCUCGCAUCGAUGAAGAACGUAGCAAAAUGCGAUACCUGGUGUGAAUUGCAGAAUCCCGCGAACCAUCGAGUUUUUGAACGCAAGUUGCGCCCGAGGCCAAUAGGUUGAGGGCACGUCUGCCUGGGCGUCUCGC